UACGUAGGGUGCAAGCGUUAAUCGGAAUUACUGGGCGUAAAGCGUGCGCAGGCGGCUAUGCAAGACAGAUGUGAAAUCCCCGGGCUCAACCUGGGAACUGCAUUUGUGACUGCAUGGCUAGAGUACGGUAGAGGGGGAUGGAAUUCCGCGUGUAGCAGUGAAAUGCGUAGAUAUGCGGAGGAACAUCGAUGGCGAAGGCAAUCCCCUGGACCUGUACUGACGCUCAUGCACGAAAGCGUGGGGAGCAAACAGG
This 253-nucleotide ribosomal RNA is filed under the name uncultured bacterium. Its description in RNAcentral is "partial 16S ribosomal RNA". It matches the Rfam family "Bacterial small subunit ribosomal RNA", at positions 524 to 776 of the family's 1533-position model. The record is from RNAcentral.